This 78-nucleotide transfer RNA is filed under the name Candidatus Omnitrophota bacterium. RNAcentral's name for it is "Candidatus Omnitrophica bacterium tRNA-Glu". It matches the Rfam family "tRNA". Rfam says of the family: Transfer RNA (tRNA) molecules are approximately 80 nucleotides in length. Their secondary structure includes four short double-helical elements and three loops (D, anti-codon, and T loops). The record is from RNAcentral. Lineage: Bacteria; Pseudomonadati; Candidatus Omnitrophota.
GACCCCAUCGUCUAGCCCGGCCUAGGACAAGAGCUUUUCAAGCUCUCGACACCGGUUCGAAUCCGGUUGGGGUCGCCA